GCCCAUGACACCUUGCUUAGCCACACCCUCAAGGGAACUCAGCAGUGAUAAACAUUAAGCCAUAAGUGAAAACUUGACUUAGUCAAAGCUAAGAGGGUCGGUAAAACUCGUGCCAGCCACCGCGGUUAUACGAGAGACCCAAGUUGAUAGACAGCGGCGUAAAGAGUGGUUAAGAACUAAACCAAAAACUAAAGCCGAACGCUCUCAAAGCUGUUAUACGCACUCGAGAGUAUGAAGUUCAACUACGAAAGUGGCUUUACCCCCCUCUGAACCCACGAAAGCUAGGACACAAACUGGGAUUAGAUACCCCACUAUGCCUAGCCCUAAACAUUGACAAUGAACUACAACCAUUGUCCGCCUGGGAACUACGAGCACCAGCUUAAAACCCAAAGGACUUGGCGGUGCUUUAG
RNAcentral lists this ribosomal RNA (410 nucleotides) under Siganus fuscescens (mottled spinefoot). RNAcentral's name for it is "partial 12S rRNA". It matches the Rfam family "Bacterial small subunit ribosomal RNA", at positions 303 to 924 of the family's 1533-position model. Lineage: Eukaryota; Metazoa; Chordata; Actinopteri; Siganidae. The record is from RNAcentral.